UACGAAGGGGGCUAGCGUUGCUCGGAAUCACUGGGCUUAAAGGGCGCGUAGGCGGGCUGUCAAGUCUGGGGUGAAAUCCCACGGCUCAACCGUGGAACUGCCUUAGAUACUGACGGCCUCGAGGAAGGUAGGGGCAUGCGGAACUGUAGGUGGAGCGGUGAAAUGCGUUGAUAUCUACAGGAACUCCGGUGGCGAAAGCGGCGUGCUGGACCCUUUCUGACGCUGAGGCGCGAAAGCUAGGGGAGCAAACGGG
RNAcentral lists this ribosomal RNA (253 nucleotides) under uncultured bacterium. Its description in RNAcentral is "partial 16S ribosomal RNA". It matches the Rfam family "Bacterial small subunit ribosomal RNA", at positions 524 to 776 of the family's 1533-position model. The record is from RNAcentral.